GGAUCCGAUCAGAUGCUCAGCGGGCCCGGUCGCUGCUGUGGUCGGACAGCCCCUCACUCUGAACUGCCAGCUUGAGCCUCAACAAGAUGUGACCACGAAAGUGAUCGAAUGGAUGUUCAACAAGAAAGCUGUGGUCCUUGUUUAUAAAAGCAGAGCAUUUUCCCCUGGUGAUCAGGCAGAACAGUUCAGAGACAGAGCGUCUCUCGGCACCAGUGGGGAUCUAACCAAAGGGAAAAUACCUGUGAUAAUCUCAUCCGUCAGGGAAGAUGAUGCUGGAACGUACAGCUGCUCUGUUCGAAAUGGAAAACAGCAAAUCUCCUGCUCUAUUCAAGUCACCGUGGCUCCUAAAGAGCAGCUUACAGACCCGGUUAAUACUCCGGCUGGAGUCAGGAGUAAAGCCCCGGACCAAAAUGGUGCUUCACUGGCGUUGGCAGUGGUUAUAUCUACAUUCCUGUGUUUGCUGUGCUAUUGAACAAAAGUGGAGAUCA
RNAcentral lists this long non-coding RNA (488 nucleotides) under Sparus aurata (gilthead seabream). RNAcentral's name for it is "lncRNA (ENSSAUG00010001744.1)". Lineage: Eukaryota; Metazoa; Chordata; Actinopteri; Spariformes; Sparidae. The record is from RNAcentral.